CAAUAGCGUAUAUUAAAGUUGUCGCAGUUAAAAAGCUCGUAGUUGGAUUUCUGGUAGGAGUGACCGUUCCGAACUUGAUUGUUCGUGUAUUGUGUUUUCUCCAGCCAUCCUUGUGGAGAACUUUUCUUGCAUUAAUUUGUAGGGAUUGGGACCCGCAUCGUUUACUGUGAAAAAAUUAGAGUGUUUAAAGCAGGCAAUCGCUUGAAUACAUUAGCAUGGAAUAAUAAGAUAGGACUUUGGUACUAUUUUGUUGGUUUGCAUACCAAAUUAAUGAUCAACAGGAACAGUUUGAGGAUAUUCGUAUGAACAUGUCAGAGGUGAAAUUCUUGGAUUUUGAUCAGACGAACUACUGCGAAAGCAUUUAUCAAGGAUGUUUUCAUUAA
This 383-nucleotide ribosomal RNA is filed under the name uncultured eukaryote. RNAcentral's name for it is "partial 18S ribosomal RNA". It matches the Rfam family "Eukaryotic small subunit ribosomal RNA", at positions 592 to 976 of the family's 1831-position model. The record is from RNAcentral.